Molecule: ribosomal RNA, 1218 nt
Filed under: uncultured Rhizaria
Lineage: Eukaryota
Description: SSU rRNA
Rfam family: Eukaryotic small subunit ribosomal RNA
Source: RNAcentral
CGGUAAUUCCAGCUCCAAUAGCGUAUACUAAAGUUGUUGCAGUUAAAAAGCUCGUAGUUGGAUUUCUGCGGGGACGGAGCGGCCGGUCGCAACUUGCGACUCGAGCUAGCGCUUUCCCCGCAUCCUGCCGCGAACCGUGCUACCAUUAGUUUGGUGGCGCUGGGGAUCGGCUCGAUUACUUUGAGAAAAAUAGGGUGUUCAAAGCAGGCCACACGCCUUGAAUAAGUUAGCAUGGAAUAAUGACUAAGGACUUUGGUUCUUUUCGUUGGUGUUCGGGACUGAAGUAAUGAUUGAUAGGGACAGUUGGGGCGGUCCGUAUUCCAAAGCGAGAGGUGAAAUUCUUAGACCUUCGGAAGACGAACAGCUGCGAAAGCGUUCCGCAAGGAUGUUCCCUUUGAUCAAGAACGAAAGUUGGGGGAUCGAAGACGAUCAGAUACCGUCGUAGUCUCAACUAUAAACUAUACCAGCUAGGGAUCGGCCAACGUUUAAUUAUUCGACUUGGUCGGCACCUUAUGAGAAAUCAAAGCAUCUGGGUUCCGGGGGGAGUAUAGUCGCAAGGCUGAAACUUAAAGGAAUUGACGGAAGGGCACCACCAGCCGUGGAGCCUGUGGCUUAAUUUGACUCAACACGGGGAAACUUACCAGGUCCGGACAUAGUAAGGAUUGACAGAUUGAUAGCUCUUUCUUGAUUCUGUGGGUGGUGGUGCAUGGCCGUUUUUAGUCGGUGGAUGUGAUCUGUCUGCUUAAUUGCGUUAACGGACGAGACCCCAGCCUGCUAAAUAGCGCGGCCGAGCUUUGCUCGGUGCGAGCUUCUUAGAGGGACCAUGAUGCGCGAUAGCACAAGGAAGUUUGGGGCAACAACAGAUCUGUGAUGCCCUUAGAUGUUCUGGGCCGCACACGGGCUACACUGGCGCCUGCAACGAGCAUAUCAGCUGGCCCGAGAGGGUCUUGGCUAAUCUUUGGAACCGGCGCCGUGCUUGGGAUUGACCAUUGCAAUUGUUGGUCAUGCAACGAGGAAUGCCUUGUAAACGCGAGUCAUCAGCUCGCAUUGAAUACGUCCCUGCCCUUUGUACACACCGCCCGUUGCUCCUACCGAUGAAUGUUCCGAUGAAAUUUUCGGAGAGCACCAGAGAACGGGGCUCCGCCUUGCAGAACUGGAGGCUCAAAGUCACUUAAAUCUGAACAUUUCGAGGAAGGAGAAGUCGUAACAAGGUAGCCG